AUUAGAGUUUGAUCCUGGCUCAGGAUGAACGCUAGCGACAGGCUUAACACAUGCAAGUCGAGGGGCAGCAUUGGAGUAGCAAUACUUCAGAUGGCGACCGGCGCACGGGUGAGUAACACGUAUCCAACCUGCCGCUUACUCGGGGAUAGCCUUUCGAAAGAAAGAUUAAUACCCGAUGGUAUAAAGAGUUCGCAUGUUCUCUUUAUUAAAGAGUUUCGGUAAGCGAUGGGGAUGCGUUCCAUUAGAUUGUUGGCGGGGUAACGGCCCACCAAGUCUACGAUGGAUAGGGGUUCUGAGAGGAAGGUCCCCCACAUUGGAACUGAGACACGGUCCAAACUCCUACGGGAGGCAGCAGUGAGGAAUAUUGGUCAAUGGACGAGAGUCUGAACCAGCCAAGUAGCGUGCAGGAUGACGGCCCUAUGGGUUGUAAACUGCUUUUAUAAGGGAAUAAAGUGAGGGACGUGUCCCUUUUUGUAUGUACCUUAUGAAUAAGGAUCGGCUAACUCCGUGCCAGCAGCCGCGGUAAUAAU
RNAcentral lists this ribosomal RNA (530 nucleotides) under uncultured bacterium. RNAcentral's name for it is "bacterial SSU rRNA". It matches the Rfam family "Bacterial small subunit ribosomal RNA", at positions 1 to 526 of the family's 1533-position model. The record is from RNAcentral.